Molecule: non-coding RNA, 45 nt
Filed under: Trichobilharzia regenti
Lineage: Eukaryota; Metazoa; Platyhelminthes; Trematoda; Strigeidida; Schistosomatidae
Source: RNAcentral
AUCCAGAUAAGGAGUCCAAAACAAGACGAAAUACGCAUCCUGGAU